GACAAGAAAAUGAAUAGGAUUGAGAAAUAAAAUGCAAAGGAGAAAACCACGAGAGGGUAGCUUGAGGGGUGUUCUGUUUUGUUGCUGUGUUUUAACGAAAUGAAGAUGCUGCCACUGCCUGGGAAGCAGGGUCUCUGAGAUGCUCUCGGGGGUACCAACCUUCUUUCAAAUGCUUGGGCCCCUUGCAGCCAAGUCCUCCCAGAAUGCUGACCUUUUUCAACUCUUUUCACCCAAGAAGAGUUUUCUAAAAAGAGAACACUCUAGUAGGGACACUUUUCUAUGUGGGUCCAAGAUGUUUUGUCAAAACUUACUUUCUUUAAUGUAAUUUGCCUUUUGUUCCUAAAGGGCCACCUCAGAAAUAUGAAAAUACAUUUCUCCCUUCCCUGCCAUUCCGGAAUCCUGCCCUGUUGGAUGAAAACAAGUAACUUCCUGUUCAUCUGCCCAGAAUUUGACAUUAAUGUGUUGUUCAUACGCAUCUAUUGUUAUUUUCUUAUGAAAAAUGGAUUUUUAUUACAGCACAUUAGUUGUAAAGGAGCUUAAAGAUCAUGAAUUUAAUUCUAUCUCUCCCACAGCCCUGUGAGUCACACAGCAGCAGAGAAUCCAAUUUCCACUUUAAAGGUGAAUAAACUGAGGCUGAAAAGUUGCAAUGGCUCAAGAUCAUACAGCGAAUUCAUGAACAAAGCAAGGUCAAGUUCACCAGCGCGGAGUUUCCCAGUCGUUCUCAGCCCUGUGUCUGAAGAUCAAGGUGUGUCAUGGCAUACCCUUCCUGUAGGAGCCUGAGCACUUCACUCCCUUUAAGGGAGGGAUGAUAGAUUGUGGCAGAGGACUCAGCUCCCCAGAGUGGGAGUGGAGGAGCAGGACGGGGCAUGGAGCCCACUGGACUCCACUUCAGGGGCCCCGGGGGUCUCUUUACAGGCUCACUGAGUGAACUUGGCUGAGUCAUCAUCUCUUCAUGUCUGUUUCCCCAAUUACAAAGCAGGAAUUCAUUCAUUCAUUCAACCAACAAACAUUUGUCUAGUGCUGACUACACAGCAGGUGCUAGGCUAGUCAAGCUGCAAAAUGGCUACAGUCCUGGCCCCCAAUGGACUUUACAGUCUGGUGAAGGGAGGAAAGACUUAAACAACAUACGUAACCAUAUAAUUACAACUGUUGGAAAGCAGUGACAAGCAAGGUCAAGCUGCUGUGAGAGGGUGUUAGAAGGAAAUUUUGCCUAAUCCGAGAGUCAUAUAAGGCUUACCUGAGGACGUGACCUAAAGGAGUGGAGAUGUAAAGAGGAGAAAAGACUAGCCUUGGAAUGGGAACAGAGAGGAGGGAGGGAAAGUAUUCCAAGCAGAGGGAACAGCAUGAGCAAACCCUGUGAGGUCGGGAGAGGAACAUGGCUUGUCUAACCAUCAGAAAGAGGCCAGUGCGACCAGAGCUCAGUAGCUCAGGGAGAGACUGGCAUAAGAUGAGGCUGGAAAAGUGGGUGGGUAACAUGUUAUAUGGGAUAACAGCAUCCACCCAUCCUUGUGGUGAUGAUAAGAUGGUUUGACAAUCACACAGCUAUGAAAAGGCUCAGAAAGCAGCACGCACUGCACUGACAUUGGGUAUCACCAUCACUGUUCAAGUGGCCUCCUGGAUAAUGCCUUAGGCCUGUCCUCAAAGCAGGAAGCUCAGGAGUGAGUUACCAGUGACCUUCUCCCACUGCCUUCUUGCCAGAGUUCUAUCUAAUCACAGGGGUCAGGACACUGCUAAUUACCAAAUCCUUCCAAAGAACUCAGAACAUGUCUAAAAAUCCUUCUCUGGCUUCUCUCCUAGGUCUAUUUGGGAAGUCAUCAACUGACAACUUACGGGUCUCUGGGCCAACCUUAGCUAUCUAACAGAGAAGUAGCAUCAUGUCUGCUGGACACGCCCUCUGGCCUACAGGUAGGAAACGCUGGCCCAGGCCCAGAGCAAGCCUCCUUGCCCCCUGCAUCUUGGUUUCUUGAACUCUAAGUGAGAACACAAGCAAAAGUCAAGCAAGAUAAGGACAAUUCAAAUGCCCUGCAGCCUUUGGUGAAAAGAUAUAGGAUAAAUACGAGGUAUCCUUAUUACGACUGUUGUUGUUGUGGGCACAGCCAUCUUGCAGACUGUUGUUGUUGUGGGCACAGCCAUCUUGCAGACUCUCUGGGUCUUGAAGUCAUUUAAUCCUGGUAAGUUCCAAGUGCCUCAAAUUUAAAGGUCAUUGCCUCUGGCAUCUCAGCACAUUCUGAUUCCACUCUCAUUUUUUAUUAUGAAGGUAUUUAUUACCCGCAUAUGGACUUUGGGUUGGAAGGUAAAAGACUAGUGAAGGCAGCUGAGCUAGUCCCCAGAAGUGCCACCUGGCCUCAUCGUCCAGGAACAGAGUGACUUCUCCCUCCCUUUCCCCAUCAACUUCCCGGUGUCUCUAGAACCUCUAGCCUGUGCCCCAGGCCUCAGAGGUGACACCCGCCACCCCAGUGUGUUUACAUUUCCUGCAACAUGGGCCUGACACAAGAAGCCACUACAUAACUCGGGAGGAGCCAGGAGUUGCUAACAAAGGUCGUAGUCAGGGCUCAGGAAGCAGAGGGGGCAUCCUGUAUUAGGAGUGGAGGGCAGGGGUGUCCAACUAGAGAUGAAACCGAUCCCCCAGUAACACACUUACAUCCCCUUCCCAAGGUCAUUAUCUGGAAAAUAAACACAUUUUAAAAUAACUUUUCUCCCUGUUACUCUAAACAGUUUUUACAGUGAUGAUAACAAUGGUUUGUGGUUGUGUUUAAAAAAAGAAGAAGAAGAAGGAAUUCCUUUUUAAAGACUCCAAUAUCUCUGGCCUGGAACACUGUAAAUCCCCUAACUGACUCCCCUCCUGCCACUUUGGCCCUGCCUCUCCCCUCCAAGCAGCCGGAGGGAUGUUGACUGAACGCAGAUUCACUGCCCUGAUUAAAAUCCUCCAAACGGCUUCCUUUUUCAUUUCCCAUGAAAUCAAGAGCCUCUUCCAUGUCUUGAGAAGCCAGCAUGGUCUGUGCCGCUCACCACUCCAGCUCCAUCCUAGGCCCUUCUCUCCUGGCACCACGCUCCAGCCACACCGGCCUUCUGUCUGUUCUUUCAACACAAGGAGCUCGAACCUAUCUUGAGGCCUUCCAGCAGAAGCUUCCUUUGCCCGGACAGCCCUUCCCUGGGAUCCUCACUUUGCUGGCUCCUUCUCAUCCCACAAGACUGAGGUUAAAUUCCUCAUCUCCCUUAGGACACACCUAGACUUAUACUGAACCUUCAUACUCUGCCCUUUUCGUGGCACUUAUCCCCAAAUGCAAUUAUUCUGUUUGUUUCCUUGCUUUCCGUCUGUGGGUCACACUGGAAGAUAACGAUGAGCAGAGGGGGCAGGUCUCUCUUGGGUUCUUGGUUUCCUAGGACCCAGCACAGAGCCUGCUCAGAGGAGCACUCAACAAACUUCAGUGGAAUGAAUGAAUGAAAAAAUGAACAAACAAUCCAUUUACUACAUAUGCACUUUAUUUUAAUAAUCAAAGCCAAUAAACACAUGUAAACUCAUUGGCUUAUGGUCUCGGGCUGGGCUUCCAGCACAGUAGAUGGCAGCCCCAUGCUCUGUAUGUAGUAAACUCAGUUUACGUCGGGGAUGACGAUGGUGUCACAAUGUCACUUGAGCAUCAAGGUUUCUGAGAUAUGGGUCUGUCCUGUUCACUGAUUCAGACACAUUACACUAACUGAGCAAGCAAUACUCUAAUGGGAAAUACAGAUGUGACAGACAUUGACAUCAAAGAUCUGAAAGUCCAAAACUAGGGGUGGGGGUAAUACAUGAAUAGCAAUAAAAGUACUAGAUAUCCUAAAUGCCAGAGGCAAGAAGAGAUACCCCUGGAUGUGGGGGACUCAAGAAAGGCUUCCUGGGGAAGGUGGCACUGGGGCUGAGCCUAAAAGAUGGGUAGAAUUUGUACACAUGGAGAUGGAAGGAAAGAUACGCCAGAUCAAGGGCAUAGCGUGACCAAAGGCAUGGAGGGAAGAAGGCUGAAGAACAGAUUGGGUAAAGGAGUGAGGGAAAUAAGGCUGAAAAACAGGUUAGGAGCAGAAGGAAGAGGCCCAAGAAGGUCACAGUCAUCAUUUUGCAUUUAUUUAGUAGGAAACAAAAGUCUUUCAGCUGAGAUUUUUAGCAAGAGGGUGGCACAAGUAGACCUCUGUUUCAGGACGAAAGUCAGCUAGCAAAGUAGGAAAUGUGGAGAAGGAAGGCCUGGGGACGGGGCAUCUUGUAGGAAUCCGUUCGGUCGUGCAUCCAUUCAACAAAUAUUUAUUGUGCGCCUACUAAGUGCCAGGCUCUGUUUGGGUGCUUGAGUUAUAUUAGUGAGCAAGAUAGACAAAGACUCCUGUCCUUGAGGAGUUUACAUUCCAUUGGAAGAAAAUAGAAAAUAGACAAUAACAUAAUAAAUAGUACAUUAUGAAGUAUGUUAGAUGGUGGUAAGAGCUAUGGGGACAAGAAAAGGAAAGCAGAGUGAGAAUCAGGAGUAUCGGGGGUGAGGAGGGCACAGGAUGUGGUAUUACAUACAGUGGUCAGGGUAAACGUCAGAGAGAAGACAUAGGAGCAAAUCUUGAAGAAAGUGAGGAUGAGAGCCGAGCAGAUGUCAGGGAAGAGGACUUUGCAGGCAGAGGAAACAGCCAGAGCAAAGCCCUGAGUCAGGAGCGUGCCUGGUGUGUUCUAGGAGUAGCAAAGAGGUCGGUGUGCCUGGAGCCGAGAGAGCGAGGCAAAGAGGAAGCAGCCAAGUCAGAGAGAUGGACACAGUAUCAGAAUCAAGAGGGAGAAGAGAACCAAAAUGGGAACAAUGGAAUGGGCUCCCUACACACAAGGAGCUAGAGGGACUUCCAACAGCAUCUGGAGUGCAACCCCUCAAUGAGGACCGUGGAGCACCAAAAGGAAUUGCUGUGUGACUUUGAGCAAGUCUCCUAACCUGUCUGGACUUCAAGAAAACAAAGAAUGGGAGUUAAUGAUGUCUGAGAAAAUGUAAAAUGCCACCCGUGGCUUACAUUCCAUUUCUACUGGAUCCUGCCGCUCUGGGAGCCUUGGCUUUCCUACAACCUGCAUCUUGGGGAGUUUGGAACAACCCCAGUAAUGACCCAGGAGUGUCUGCAAGGGUCUGUAAAUUGUGCAAGGCCAUUUGGAGCUUGGAUGGAGCACACUGAAGAAUCUAGCCGCCUCCCACCCCUAACAAAUAAAACCUCUACAUAAGUGAAAUCGGGGUGAACGCAAAAUAUUGAAUCAGGCUUAACCAUGAACCCGGAGUGAAAGCAUCCUGAACAGCUGUAAGUAGAGACUUUGCAGAGAAAACGCAGCCAAAGGGGUCAGUGUGGAAAGGCAGGAAUGAGGCCGGGUCUGCACUCCUUUGACGACAGUGGGAGGGAGCAUGUCAGCUCUGCAUUAGCUCCAAUUGACAGCAAUGUUGCCACCACCCUGAGUCACAUCCCAGCCCCAGCGCCCCCCAAAAACAGAGGUUCCCUUAAAGCUAAGGACCCAGGGCCUUGCUGCAACCCAGACACAGGUCUGAAGGUGGCCAGCUACUCAGAAGUAUAGUAACACAUCAGUAGUCAAGAAAACCAAGCAAUUCUUUCUGCAUGGCCACAAAGCAAUUAGCAUCACCUAGCAGCAAAUUCUCACCCCAAAUUCUUCCAUUUCCAUAUCCAAGAUGGAUUCUAUCUUAAGUGACUGGCCCUUUUCGUGUAAGACGCUCCAGAAGUUCAUUCACAGUAAGGGGUGAGGGCACACGGUGCGCUCUCCUUAGAAACACACAACCUGGGACAAGCUUUCUUUACUUGAAGCCACAGGAAGGUAUCUCCCGACCCAAAAGAGCUGUGGCUCCUCCAGCUCUUUUGGGAAAGUAAUUCAUCCUGGGCCUGUUUCCAUCCUGCGCCUGCUUGCUUUGCUCCUCUGGGGUGGCAAGAGGGAGACAAAAAGACGGGGAAGACACGAGACACCCAGAGGGGAGAGAAUCUCAGGGGGAUGCAUGGACAUGUUGACACGUGAGAGCAGGCCCACCUCUGAGCACCACUGGGCUCGUUCACUCUCCUGGAAAACUCAGCCCUUCGGAAAAAGGAGCAAAGCAUGUUUGUCCCGGGCGAGCCCAGCACUCCCCACCUCUCCCAUCACGGGCCCAGCCAAGCUCCAGAGGGC
This is a long non-coding RNA of Equus caballus (horse), 6142 nucleotides long. RefSeq lists it as uncharacterized. Lineage: Eukaryota; Metazoa; Chordata; Mammalia; Perissodactyla; Equidae. The record is from RefSeq and is a predicted model, not a curated record.